This is a long non-coding RNA of Canis lupus familiaris (dog), 3031 nucleotides long. RefSeq lists it as uncharacterized. Lineage: Eukaryota; Metazoa; Chordata; Mammalia; Carnivora; Canidae. The transcript has 3 exons. The record is from RefSeq and is a predicted model, not a curated record.
GCUGACGGGAGCCGCGCCUGCGCAGUUGUCUCCGGCUCUUCCGCUCUGGUAGCGAGUCUGUCAGAGGAGCCUGGUUGCGCCGCCGCCCACUGGCUUGUGGUGAAAGCUGGAGAAACUUUCUGCCUCCUCUCAACCCCUGGCCCCACUUUUUAAGGCAGAAACCAAUCUACACCCACAUUCAAGCCAAGUGAAGGUUGUCUGACUUGGGAGCUUUUCUCCUCACACGGGGCUCAGCCUCAUUAUCAGAGCGGUGUCUUUGACAACCCGGAGCCCAUUAAAAACAUCUUGAAGAAAGGGUACCCCACACUGUGGAGCUUCAAAAUCUAUACCAAGCUGGAGUCCUUAAGGAUGGUGUUACAACAUGAGCAAGCGGCUCCUUCAUUUUUCAUCCUAGGGUAUCAAGGAACAGACAUGUUAUCUGGCCCCUAUGUGACUGACCCCGGCCACGUUGCACAUCGCCACCAAGACACUGAAGUCAAAUAAUCGAAAUAGCAGCGGAGGACCUCUCUGCUGGGGUUUACAGCCCCUCCAAAUCUUGAGCUGCUUUUAUAGGGUUACUAGUUGAGAUUUAAAGUUUCUUUGUUUUCAGAGCACCAGAGCUCCCAUUUGCCACCAAUUGCCAUUUUUCAAAGGUUUCUGGCUCACCCAGGAAUUCAUUAGGGUGGUAGCAGAAGAAAGGGUGGAUAGACUAGACCCACAGUGCAAUCCCGACCCUGCUCCCCACUCCCCACUCCCUCACUUGGGGGCCCGAGCCUCACCCACACUCCCUUGUUUUCCAGUUUGGAAGGAGGAAGCCAGGGAUGUGAGCACUCUCUAAUCAUAUGCAGUGGUUUUCUCGGAGCCUGGUGUGAUUUCUGGAGCUUCCAGCAAUGUGUGGGACACACUCUGCACUGAAGAAUUUAAUGACUUGUUUUACUGCUGCCUGCCAUCAAUAUUUAUCUAUAUUAACUGAAGAAAGGCAUUACUUGAAAUGGCGUUUCACACCUCUGAGCAUUAUACAGUAAUUCCAAAGUCGUAAGUUGUACCAAAUUCUACGGGCAACCACAGAGAUGCAGCAUGAAUGGAAAUAACCCAGCUUGAAGUUGUGAAACUUGAACCGUCUGCAGCAAUCUGGAAAGCCAAAGUCAAGAUUAUUAAGAGUUGCUAAAGGUGAGACUCUCUAGCAGUGGAUAGAAAGCAGUGGCAACAAUCUUUCCUUUGCUCUCUGUUCCUUGAAUUAAUAAGAGCACUUUGCAAGUAUACAUAAUAGACGAGAAACGCUCUCGAGAAAGGCAAUGAGACGAGGCAGAUGAGUACCUGGCUUCCUUCUGCCUUAAUCAUUCAGGCAAGCCGGCUGAAUCAUCCCUUCCAUGUUUCCACUUACCCUUCUGGCCGGCAGUGUUCUCACUCUUGGUUUCCCCCUGCCAGGAAGCCAUCUCUGACCCUGUUACCUCAUGCCAACAUUUUCUGGUUUGCAUCUCUUCAACACACUUAUGAAAAAAGUAUCCUACUUAUUCGAGGGCCUGUACCCUUGCCUGCCUCCCCGCUGGCACGGAAGUGCCUUGAGAUCAGAAACACACCAGGCAGACAGCCGUUCUGUCUUUAGCACUGAGCCCAGGGCCUGGUAUAUGGUAGGGGCCACUUUGAUUUGCAGGGUGAAUUACCCACCCUAGAAGAUCCUGAGCUUGAAGCACUGUGGAUACCACACAGACCACAUCAUUUUGAGCCAACAGCUUUAAAAGGACCAUGUAAGCAUCCCAUGCUUGAGCUUUACUCAAAGACCAGCAGUUUCAAGGAUGAAAGGAUGUAGGAGAUCAGUUGGGCCAACCCUUCACCUCACAGAGGAGAGAACCUAGUCCCAGAGGGAUUAAGAGACUCACUCUUCCAAGGUCGUUCAGUGCUUUGCAGAGGCAGAAGUAACUCCAGGACCUGGGCUUCUGGCAGCUGCUGGCUCUGGCUCUUUCUCAGAUGCUGUGCUCUAUCUCCAAAAAUAAGCUCUCCAGCCAAUGACUUCUAGAAUAGCUUGACUUUCACAUUGUGAUCUAAAAUGCACUUCCUAUAAUUUUCUCGUCUUUGGAAAUUAUGUUUAUGGGACAUCUGGGCGAGAGAAUUAGUCCUCAAUUCAUAAUAGAUAAGGUUUACAUUUUUAAUAACGGGAUUAGAACUUCAGGGAAACUUUAUAACUGCACUAUUAGCACACCACACUUAGGUUUUAUAUUAAUACAAGAUUACUGGCCCAAUGACUUUACACACUUUGGAAGAAGCACACAACUUGGAAGAAGAAUGGUGAACAGAAGGACACAUGUUCAGUGGGAGUCUGCUUCCCAGUCUUUCUGGAGUUGUAAAAGCCUGCUGUUACUUGGUGGCUUCUGUGAAACAGGACUGACACAUUGCUUAUUCCCUUUAAAAAACUAUGACGUGGAAUUCAUUUAUUUUCAUUUUAAGGUUGGAAGCACUUCUUGAAUAAACCAGAGAUGCCCUGAAGAGUAAACUAUAAGGAUAAGAAUCACUGAAUAAGAAGCUGUAAACCAGUAGGUAAGACUGUGUACGUAUCAGUCCACAUUCAGACAUGACUGUUAGCAUGACUUAUAAAGUCAUUUAUGUCCCUUAAAUAAAUAGAUAGUGAUUAAGGAAAGGGGGGGGGAUUCCUGGGUGGCUUAGCGGUUGAGCAUCUGCCUUUGGCUCAGGGUGUGAUCCUGAUCCAGGGAUCGAGUCCCAUGUCAGGCUCCCUGCAUGGAGCCUGCUUCUCUCUCUGCCUGUGUCUCGGCCUCUCUCUCUGUGUCUCUUAUGAAUAAAUAAAUAAAAUCUUUAAAAAAAAAAAAAAGAAAAGGCGGGGGCUUGAGGGGGAACAAAGUCAUUCGGGAAACAGCCAUCCUGCUGUUUUCAGAAAAAAAGGGACAACAUGGGCCCAAAUCCAUGCCAUCCUAAGCAUUAAUUCUCAGAGUAAAUAAAAUUGUUGGCUAAAUAAGAUCGCUUUUCUCUGAAUGUCAUCUGUUUAUCCACUGUUCUAAAAAAAAAAAAACUAUUAGCAAAGGUGAAGAAAAGCAUGGCU